GAAAGUUGGAUCCUGACUCAUGAUGAACGCUGUGCGGCAUGCACUAACACAUAGCCAGUCCCAACGGACGAUUACGAAAGCUUGCUUUCGUAAUCUUAAUGAGCGGACGGGUGAGUAACGCGUGAUCUAACCUGCCUCUCAUGACGGGGAUAACGUUCUGAACAUAACGCUACUACCGUAUAUCAUCACGAAACCGCAUGGAUUAGUGAUGAAAGGACUAAUCCGCUGACAGAUGGACUCGCGUCUGAUUAUCUAAAUGGUGGGGUAUCGGCUUACCAUGGCGAGGAUCAGCACCCGGACUGACAGGUUGAACGGUCACAUUGGGACUGAUACACAGCCCAAACUCCUACCGGAGGCAGCAUUGGCGGAUAUUGCGCUAUGGGGGAAACCCUGACGCAGCAAUGCCUCGUGAACGAUGAAGGUUCUCCGAUUGUGCACUUCUUAUGUCAAGGACUAAAAAUGACGGUACUUACCCAAUAAACUUCUGCUAACUAUGUGCCAGCAGCCGCGGUCAUACAUAUGGAUCACUCGUGAUCCGAACUGACUGGGUGUUGAGGUUGCGUAAGCGGCUACUCAAAUCAGAUGUGAAAUACACGGGCUCAACUCGUGGGCUGCAUUUGAAACUGUUUAGCUGAGUGAAAGUAGAGGCAGNCGGAAUUCCCGGUGUAGCGGUGAAAUGCGUAGAGAUCGGGAGGACACCAGUGGCGAAGGCGGCCUGCUGGGCUUUAACUGACGCUGAGGCACGAAAGCGUGGGUAGCAAACAGGAUUAGAUACCCUGGUAGUCCACGCUGUAAACGAUGAUUACUAGGUGUGGGUGGACUGACCCCAUCCGUGCCGCAGUUAACACAAUAAGUAAUCCACCUGGGGAGUACGACCGCAAGGUUGAAACUCAAAGGAAUUGACGGGGGCCCGCACAAGCAGUGGAGUAUGUGGUUUAAUUCGAAGCAACGCGAAGAACCUUACCAGGUCUUGACAUCCAACUAACGAAGUAGAGAUACAUUAGGUGCCCUUCGGGGAAAGUUGAGACAGGUGGUGCAUGGUUGUCGUCAGCUCGUGUCGUGAGAUGUUGGGUUAAGUCCCGCAACGAGCGCAACCCUUGCUAUUAGUUGCUACGCAAGAGCACUCUAACAGGACUGCCGUUGACAAAACGGAGGAAGGUGGGGACGACGUCAAAUCAUCGUGCCCCUUAUGACCUGGGCUACACACGUACUACAAUGGCCAUUAACAAAGGGAAGCAAAACCGCGAGGUGGAGCAAACCCCCAAAAAUGGUCCCAGUUCGGAUUGUAGGCUGCAACCCGCCUAUAUGAAGUUGGAAUUGCUAGUAAUCGUGGAUCAGAAUGCCACGGUGAAUACGUUCCCGGGCCUUGACACACCGCCCGUC
This 1383-nucleotide ribosomal RNA is filed under the name uncultured bacterium. RNAcentral describes it as "bacterial SSU rRNA". It matches the Rfam family "Bacterial small subunit ribosomal RNA". The record is from RNAcentral.